Coffea arabica (coffee) is the source of this 145-nucleotide non-coding RNA. Lineage: Eukaryota; Viridiplantae; Streptophyta; Magnoliopsida; Gentianales; Rubiaceae. The record is from RefSeq and is a predicted model, not a curated record.
GAAUUCGAUUCCCAACUUGAUAUCUGAACUCCACUCUUGGAUGGGAAGUUUGAAAGCAUUUGAGCAGCUUAUAUUUCCUAUGAAUGUACUUGAACAACUUGAAUUUAAAUUUCGGUUUGUAAUGAAUUCUACGUUAAGCACUGUA